Molecule: ribosomal RNA, 376 nt
Filed under: uncultured soil bacterium
Lineage: Bacteria
Description: bacterial SSU rRNA
Rfam family: Bacterial small subunit ribosomal RNA
Source: RNAcentral
AGAUUGAACGCUGGCGGAAUGCUUUACACAUGCAAGUCGAACGGCAGCACGGGGGUAACCCUGGUGGCGAGUGGCGAACGGGUGAGUAAUACAUCGGAACGUGCCCAGUCGUGGGGGAUAACGUAGCGAAAGCUACGCUAAUACCGCAUACGAACUCUGGUUGAAAGCGGGGGACUCGCAAGAGCCUCGCGCGAUUGGAGCGGCCGAUGGCAGAUUAGGUAGUUGGUGGGGUAAAGGCUCACCAAGCCUGCGAUCUGUAGCUGGUCUGAGAGGACGACCAGCCACACGUGGACGUGAGACACGGCCCAGACUCCGACGGGAGGCAGCAGGUGGGUAAUUUGGACUAAGUGGGCGACGAACGCUAGACUCCAGCCUA